CCUACGGGAGGCAGCAGUGGGGAAUAUUGCACAAUGGGCGAAAGCCUGAUGCAGCAACGCCGCGUGAGGGACGACGGCCUUCGGGUUGUAAACCUCUUUUAGUAGGGAAGAAGCGAAAGUGACGGUACCUGCAGAAAAAGCACCGGCUAACUACGUGCCAGCAGCCGCGGUAAUACGUAGGGUGCAAGCGUUAUCCGGAAUUAUUGGGCGUAAAGAGCUCGUAGGCGGUUUGUCACGUCUGCUGUGAAAACUGGAGGCUCAACCUCCAGCCUGCAGUGGGUACGGGCAGACUAGAGUGCGGUAGGGGAGAUUGGAAUUCCUGGUGUAGCGGUGGAAUGCGCAGAUAUCAGGAGGAACACCGAUGGCGAAGGCAGAUCUCUGGGCCGUAACUGACGCUGAGGAGCGAAAGCAUGGGGAGCGAACAGGAUUAGAUACCCUGGUAGUCCAUGCCGUAAACGUUGGGAACUAGAUGUAGGGGCCAUUCCACGGCUUCUGUGUCGCAGCUAACGCAUUAAGUUCCCCGCCUGGGGAGUACGGCCGCAAGGCUAAAACUCAAAGGAAUUGACGG
This 568-nucleotide ribosomal RNA is filed under the name uncultured bacterium. RNAcentral describes it as "bacterial SSU rRNA". It matches the Rfam family "Bacterial small subunit ribosomal RNA", at positions 338 to 916 of the family's 1533-position model. The record is from RNAcentral.